Molecule: ribosomal RNA, 1707 nt
Filed under: Escherichia coli
Lineage: Bacteria; Pseudomonadati; Pseudomonadota; Gammaproteobacteria; Enterobacterales; Enterobacteriaceae
Description: partial 23S ribosomal RNA
Rfam family: Bacterial large subunit ribosomal RNA
Source: RNAcentral
GUUAAGCGACUAAGCGUACACGGUGGAUGCCCUGGCAGUCAGAGGCGAUGAAGGACGUGCUAAUCUGCGAUAAGCGUCGGUAAGGUGAUAUGAACCGUUAUAACCGGCGAUUUCCGAAUGGGGAAACCCAGUGUGUUUCGACACACUAUCAUUAACUGAAUCCAUAGGUUAAUGAGGCGAACCGGGGGAACUGAAACAUCUAAGUACCCCGAGGAAAAGAAAUCAACCGAGAUUCCCCCAGUAGCGGCGAGCGAACGGGGAGCAGCCCAGAGCCUGAAUCAGUGUGUGUGUUAGUGGAAGCGUCUGGAAAGGCGCGCGAUACAGGGUGACAGCCCCGUACACAAAAAUGCACAUGCUGUGAGCUCGAUGAGUAGGGCGGGACACGUGGUAUCCUGUCUGAAUAUGGGGGGACCAUCCUCCAAGGCUAAAUACUCCUGACUGACCGAUAGUGAACCAGUACCGUGAGGGAAAGGCGAAAAGAACCCCGGCGAGGGGAGUGAAAAAGAACCUGAAACCGUGUACGUACAAGCAGUGGGAGCACGCUUAGGCGUGUGACUGCGUACCUUUUGUAUAAUGGGUCAGCGACUUAUAUUCUGUAGCAAGGUUAACCGAAUAGGGGAGCCGAAGGGAAACCGAGUCUUAACUGGGCGUUAAGUUGCAGGGUAUAGACCCGAAACCCGGUGAUCUAGCCAUGGGCAGGUUGAAGGUUGGGUAACACUAACUGGAGGACCGAACCGACUAAUGUUGAAAAAUUAGCGGAUGACUUGUGGCUGGGGGUGAAAGGCCAAUCAAACCGGGAGAUAGCUGGUUCUCCCCGAAAGCUAUUUAGGUAGCGCCUCGUGAAUUCAUCUCCGGGGGUAGAGCACUGUUUCGGCAAGGGGGUCAUCCCGACUUACCAACCCGAUGCAAACUGCGAAUACCGGAGAAUGUUAUCACGGGAGACACACGGCGGGUGCUAACGUCCGUCGUGAAGAGGGAAACAACCCAGACCGCCAGCUAAGGUCCCAAAGUCAUGGUUAAGUGGGAAACGAUGUGGGAAGGCCCAGACAGCCAGGAUGUUGGCUUAGAAGCAGCCAUCAUUUAAAGAAAGCGUAAUAGCUCACUGGUCGAGUCGGCCUGCGCGGAAGAUGUAACGGGGCUAAACCAUGCACCGAAGCUGCGGCAGCGACGCUGAUGCGUUGUUGGGUAGGGGAGCGUUCUGUAAGCCUGCGAAGGUGUGCUGUGAGGCAUGCUGGAGGUAUCAGAAGUGCGAAUGCUGACAUAAGUAACGAUAAAGCGGGUGAAAAGCCCGCUCGCCGGAAGACCAAGGGUUCCUGUCCAACGUUAAUCGGGGCAGGGUGAGUCGACCCCUAAGGCGAGGCCGAAAGGCGUAGUCGAUGGGAAACAGGUUAAUAUUCCUGUACUUGGUGUUACUGCGAAGGGGGGACGGAGAAGGCUAUGUUGGCCGGGCGACGGUUGUCCCGGUUUAAGCGUGUAGGCUGGUUUUCCAGGCAAAUCCGGAAAAUCAAGGCUGAGGCGUGAUGACGAGGCACUACGGUGCUGAAGCAACAAAUGCCCUGCUUCCAGGAAAAGCCUCUAAGCAUCAGGUAACAUCAAAUCGUACCCCAAACCGACACAGGUGGUCAGGUAGAGAAUACCAAGGCGCUUGAGAGAACUCGGGUGAAGGAACUAGGCAAAAUGGUGCCGUAACUUCGGGAGAAGGCACGC